RNAcentral lists this ribosomal RNA (253 nucleotides) under uncultured bacterium. Its description in RNAcentral is "partial 16S ribosomal RNA". It matches the Rfam family "Bacterial small subunit ribosomal RNA", at positions 524 to 776 of the family's 1533-position model. The record is from RNAcentral.
UACAGAGGUCUCAAGCGUUGUUCGGAUUCAUUGGGCGUAAAGGGUGCGUAGGCGGCGCGGUAAGUCGGGUGUGAAAUCUCGGAGCUUAACUCCGAAACUGCAUUCGAUACUGCCGUGCUUGAGGUCUGGAGAGGAGACUGGAAUUUACGGUGUAGCAGUGAAAUGCGUAGAUAUCGUAAGGAAGACCAGUGGCGAAGGCGAGUCUCUGGACAGUUACUGACGCUGAGGCACGAAGGCCAGGGGAGCAAACGGG